CCUCCGGUGCAGCCGCCGCCACCGCUGCCUCCUUUUUUCUUCUGCCGUCGCCGCCACCUCCUUUUCCUCUGCAGCCGAUGCCUCCUUUUCCUCCUCCUCGGCCGCCGUCGCCACCUCAUUUUCCUCCUCCUCCUCCGCCGCCGCCGCCGCCUUUUCCUCCGCCGUCGCUGCUGCCGCCGCCACCUCAUUUUCCUCCGGCGCUAACACCUCCUUUUCCUCCUCCUCCGCCGCCACCGCUGCCUCCUUUUUUCUUCUGCCGUCGCCGCCACCUCCUUUUCCUCUGCAGCCGAUGCCUCCUUUUCCUCCUCCUCGGCCGCCGUCGCCACCUCAUUUUCCUCCUCCUCCUCCGCCGCCGCCGCCGCCUUUUCCUCCGCCGUCGCUGCUGCCGCCGCCACCUCAUUUUCCUCCGGCGCUAACACCUCCUUUUCCUCCUCCUCCGCCGCCACCGCUGCCUCCUUUUUUUCCUCCUCUGUCGUCGCUGCCCGCCACCACCUUUUCCUCCGCCGCUGUAGUGUGCCGAGUCCUCGGUGUGCUAAAUCAAACUUUAAUCAAAUUGCCCGAAGCUUGGUAUUGGACGCUUUAGAGAGGUCUGUUGAUGUUCCGAGUGCUUCGUAAGGAUGUAUAUGGGUGUUUGGACCUUGGAGCGCAAGAUUGAAGAAAUU
Molecule: long non-coding RNA, 662 nt
Filed under: Ananas comosus (pineapple)
Lineage: Eukaryota; Viridiplantae; Streptophyta; Magnoliopsida; Poales; Bromeliaceae
Description: long non-coding RNA (ACOM_LNC016589)
Source: RNAcentral